RNAcentral lists this non-coding RNA (101 nucleotides) under uncultured Sporolactobacillus sp. RNAcentral's name for it is "SAM riboswitch (S box leader)". It matches the Rfam family "SAM riboswitch aptamer (S box leader)". Rfam says of the family: The SAM riboswitch is found upstream of a number of genes which code for proteins involved in methionine or cysteine biosynthesis in Gram-positive bacteria. The SAM riboswitch acts at the level of transcription termination control. The record is from RNAcentral. Lineage: Bacteria; Bacillati; Bacillota; Bacilli; Caryophanales; Sporolactobacillaceae.
UCUUAUCGAGAGAAGUGGAGGGGCGGGCCCAAUGAAGCUUCGGCAACAGAUUCGUUUGAAUACUGUGCCAAAUCCUGCAGCCAAUCGUGCUGGCAGAUAAG